AGUAAGGAUAGAGGCGCAGAGACCAUGAGUACAUAAUUUGAGGAUGAUGAGGUCCGAUGACGAUUGUGAAAAGGGGAAUCUGCCGAAGCUGAAAGAAUCUCAUAUUUCUUGAAGCUGGGUCUGUUAUUGAAUAAAUACAGAACUGUCAUAUAGGAAAAAACUAUAUGGAGGGCUAUCUUACGC
This 183-nucleotide non-coding RNA is filed under the name Bacillus sp. (in: firmicutes). RNAcentral's name for it is "Bacillus sp. Lysine sequence". It matches the Rfam family "Lysine riboswitch aptamer". From Rfam's summary of the family: Riboswitches are metabolite binding domains within certain messenger RNAs that serve as precision sensors for their corresponding targets. Lineage: Bacteria; Bacillati; Bacillota; Bacilli; Caryophanales; Bacillaceae. The record is from RNAcentral. RNAcentral also lists the same sequence under 1 other name.